GAUGAACGCUGGCGGCGUGCCUAAUACAUGCAAGUCGAGCGAACAGAUGGGGAGCUGGCUCCUCUGACGUUAUCGGCGGACGGGUGAGUAACACGUGGAUAACCUACCUAUAAGACUGGGAUAACUUCGGGAAACCGGGUCUAAUACCGGAUAAUAUAUUGAACUGCAUUGUUCAAUAGUGGAAGACGGUUUUGCUGUCACUUAUAGAUUGAUCCGCGCCGCAUUAGCUAGUUGGUAAGGUGACUGCUUACCCAGGCAACGAUGCGGAGCCGACCUGAGAGGGUGAAUGGACACCCUGGCACUGAGAAUCGGCCCAGACUCCGACGGGAGGACGCAGUAGGGAAUCUUCCGCGAUGGGGCAAAGCCUGACGGAGCAACGCCGCCUGAGGGAUGAACGUCCUAUGCUCGUAAAGCUCUGUUAUCGGGGAAGAACAAAUGCGUAAGUACCUAUGCACGUAUUGACGGUACCUAAUCAGAAAGCCACGGCUAACUACGUG
This 497-nucleotide ribosomal RNA is filed under the name uncultured bacterium. RNAcentral's name for it is "partial 16S ribosomal RNA". It matches the Rfam family "Bacterial small subunit ribosomal RNA", at positions 28 to 507 of the family's 1533-position model. The record is from RNAcentral.